RNAcentral lists this ribosomal RNA (253 nucleotides) under uncultured bacterium. RNAcentral describes it as "partial 16S ribosomal RNA". It matches the Rfam family "Bacterial small subunit ribosomal RNA", at positions 524 to 776 of the family's 1533-position model. The record is from RNAcentral.
UACAGAGGGUGCGAGCGUUGUUCGGAAUUAUUGGGCGUAAAGCGCUUGUAGGCGGCACGUCAAGUCGCGUGUGAAAUCCCCAGGCUUAACCUGGGAAGUGCGCGCGAAACUGACGAGCUUGAGUGCCGGAGAGGGUCGCGGAAUUCCCGGUGUAGAGGUGAAAUUCGUAGAUAUUCGCAAGAACACCAGUGGCGAAGGCGGCUCACUGGCCCGGUACUGACGCUGAGGUGCGAAAGCGUGGGGAGCAAACAGG